GACGAACGCUGGCGGCGUGCUUAACACAUGCAAGUCGAACGGACAGGCCCUGAUUUUGUGGGGUGCACGAGUGGCGAACGGGUGAGUAACACGUGAGUAAACUGCACUUGUCUUUGGGAUAACUUCAGGAAACUCGGGAUCAUACACGAUAGGAGCUACUGCUGCACGGUGGGGGAUGGAAAGUUUCGGCGGUUGGGGAUGGUGUCGCGGGUUCUCAGCUUGAUGGGGGAGUAGUGGCAUACGAAGGCUAUGACGGGUAGGCCGCCUGAGAGGGUGACCGGCGACAUUGGGACUGAGGUACGGACCAGUCGGCUACGGGAGGCAGCAGUGGGGAGUAUUGCAGAACGGGCGGAAGCGUGAUGCAGCAGCGCCGCGUGCGUGAUGACGGCUUUCUGGUUAUAAACCGCUGUCGCAUUAGACAAAGCGGGAGUGACGGUAACUGGUAAGGAAGCACCGGCUAACUACGUG
Molecule: ribosomal RNA, 468 nt
Filed under: uncultured bacterium
Lineage: Bacteria
Description: partial 16S ribosomal RNA
Rfam family: Bacterial small subunit ribosomal RNA
Source: RNAcentral